UGUUGGUAGUGAAAUUCAAUUUGACUACUGUGUUGUUGGUCGUUAGUUGUUCGCUUGUCGAAUGAUUAUGAUCAUCAUUGCAUUUUAGUCAAUGCACUUUUCACUACCACGUUGGAGCUCUGACUCUUAACACACAACUUGAUUGUUUAGUGCAACUUUUUUUAGUGGUUAAGUCUCUUUAUUGAGUCUUAUUCACUUUGAAAGGAGUCAAAUCGAGUUACGGUUAAGAGGUGAAUUACUUACUAUUGUAAGUCUAUUCAGAUCGUCUGAUCUUGGUGAUGGUG
This 284-nucleotide ribosomal RNA is filed under the name Hygrobates longipalpis. RNAcentral's name for it is "partial 28S ribosomal RNA". The record is from RNAcentral. Lineage: Eukaryota; Metazoa; Arthropoda; Arachnida; Trombidiformes; Hygrobatidae.